GAUAAACGCUGGCGGCGUGCAUGAGACAUGCAAGUCGAACGAAGGAUCGGGCUUGCUCGUUCCUUAGCGGCGGACGGCUGCGUAACGCGUAGGUGACCUACCCCGAAGUGGGGAAUAACUGCCCGAAAGGGUGGCCAAUACCGCAAGUGGUUGCACGUUCAUUCGUGCGAGUAAAGCCGCAAGGCGCUUCGGGGGGGGCCUGCGUCCGAUUAGCCCGUUGGUGGGGUAAUGGCUUACCAAGGCGACGAUCGGUAGGUGGUCUGAGAGGACGAUCACCCAGACUGGGACUGAGACACGGCCCAGACUCCUACGGGAGGCAGCAGUAGGGAAUUUUGCUCAAUGGGGGAAACCCUGAAGCAGCAACGCCGCGUGAGGGAUGAAGGCCUUCGGGUUGUAAACCUCUUUUGUCAGGGACGAUGAUGACGGUACCUGGCGAAUAAGCCACGGCUAACUACGUG
This 458-nucleotide ribosomal RNA is filed under the name uncultured bacterium. RNAcentral's name for it is "partial 16S ribosomal RNA". It matches the Rfam family "Bacterial small subunit ribosomal RNA", at positions 28 to 507 of the family's 1533-position model. The record is from RNAcentral.